ACAAGGAUUCCCCUAGUAACUGCGAGUGAAGCGGGAAGAGCUCAAAUUUAAAAUCUGGCGGUCUCCGGCCGUCCGAGUUGUAAUCUAUAGAAUCCCUACCCGCCCCGGACCGUGCAUAUGUCUCCUGGAACGGAGCGUCACAAAGGGUGAGAAUCCCGUCUGAGGCGCGGACUCCCGGGGCUUUGUGGUGCGCUCUCGAAUAGUCUAGUUGUUUGGGAAUGCAGCUCAUAAUGGGUGGUAAACUCCAUCUACAGCUAAAUAUUGGCGAGAGACCGAUAGCCAACUAGUACCGUGAGGGAAAGAUGAACAGCACUUUGGAAAGAUAGUUAAACAGUACGUGAAAUUGUUGAAAGGGA
Molecule: ribosomal RNA, 356 nt
Filed under: Volvariella nauseosa
Lineage: Eukaryota; Fungi; Basidiomycota; Agaricomycetes; Agaricales; Pluteaceae
Description: eukaryotic LSU rRNA
Rfam family: Eukaryotic large subunit ribosomal RNA
Source: RNAcentral